GAACGCACAUUGCGCCCUUUGGCAUUCCGAAGGGCAUGCCCGUUCGAGCGUCAUUACACCAAUCAAGCCUGGCUUGGUAUUGGGCGUCGGGAGACCCCGCGCCCCUAAUUCAUCGGCUGGACGGUUCGAAUCUCAGCGUUGUGGUCAUUCAAUUCGCUGGCGAGGACGACCGGACGCGCCGUUAAACCUCUAUCACAGGUUGACCUCGGAUCGGGUAGGGAUACCCGCUGAACUUAAG
RNAcentral lists this unclassified non-coding RNA (238 nucleotides) under uncultured Capnodiales. RNAcentral's name for it is "sequence contains 5.8S rRNA gene". The record is from RNAcentral. Lineage: Eukaryota; Fungi; Ascomycota; Dothideomycetes; Capnodiales.